RNAcentral lists this ribosomal RNA (252 nucleotides) under uncultured Bacteroidales bacterium. RNAcentral describes it as "partial 16S ribosomal RNA". It matches the Rfam family "Bacterial small subunit ribosomal RNA", at positions 524 to 776 of the family's 1533-position model. Lineage: Bacteria; Pseudomonadati; Bacteroidota; Bacteroidia; Bacteroidales. The record is from RNAcentral.
UACGUAUGGAGCAAGCGUUAUCCGGAUUUAUUGGGUUUAAAGGGUGCGUAGGCGGGCUGUUAAGUCAGCGGUAAAAGCCCGGGGCUCAACCCCGGCGAGCCGUUGAAACUGGCGGGCUGGAGUUGGAGAGAAGUACGCGGAAUGCGCGGUGUAGCGGUGAAAUGCUUAGAUAUCGCGCAGAACCCCGAUUGCGAAGGCAGCAUACCGGUGCACAACUGACGCUCAGGCACGAAAGCGUGGGUAUCGAACAGG